This 253-nucleotide unclassified non-coding RNA is filed under the name uncultured Chlamydiales bacterium. RNAcentral describes it as "contains 16S-23S intergenic spacer region". It matches the Rfam family "Bacterial small subunit ribosomal RNA", at positions 524 to 776 of the family's 1533-position model. Lineage: Bacteria; Pseudomonadati; Chlamydiota; Chlamydiia; Chlamydiales. The record is from RNAcentral.
UACGGAGGGUGCAAGCGUUAAUCGGAUUUAUUGGGCGUAAAGGGCGCGUAGGCGGGGUGGACAGUUAGAUGUGAAAGCCCGGGGCUCAACUCCGGACCCGCAUCUAAUACUACCAACCUAGAGGAUGGACGGAGAAAAGGGAAUUCCACGUGUAGCGGUGAAAUGCGUAGAUAUGUGGAAGAACACCAGUGGCGAAAGCGCUUUUCUAGUUUAUUCCUGACGCUGAGGCGCGAAAGCAAGGGGAGCAAACAGG